ACAGGAUUAGAUAGGAUGGUUGAGUUUCACUUAAUGUUUGUUUCUUUAUUCAUUGAGUCUGUAAACUGUGAUUGACUACACACUCCAGUACAGUACAUGGUGGCAUGCACCUCUAACGUUUGUUUGCAGACCACCAUAAUAUUACAGAAGAAGAAGAAGAAGGUAAGCGAAAGGAAAAGUGUCAGACUCACUUGAGAGUUAGAAACUGCUACACGAGGCUACUGCAAAAGUAGUGAACAUUUCUAAAUCAUGGACAAACUGUAUAUUUUUGUUAGUUCUUUUGUUUUCCAUCGUUGUCAAUGCAGAGUACAAGAUCAGAAUUGCUGACAAAAGGCAGCUGCACAGAUAGGGCUCUACCUGUGUAGAGCACAUGCCCCUUUGCCCUUCCAGUGUCCUUCCAGUCCGCGACACCACGUGAGUUCACCGUGGGGGAGAAAGUGAUGGUGCUCGUGCCCACGGCUGAACAUUGUUUGCUGGCGCAGUGGAGGGGGCCCUAUGAGGUAAUGAAAAAGGUAUCACCGGUCAAUUACCUCAUCAAGCAACCUGACAGGAGGAAGAAGGUCCAACUAUAUCAUAUAAACCUGUUGAAGAAGUACCAUGGAAGAGAGGAGGAGGAGGAGGCUUUGAUGGCCCUGGAGGGCAAAGGAAAGGAGGAGGCUCUACCACAGGUGUGUCGUGGCCAAACUCUCCUGCCGGAGCAGUCGAGACAACUAGACAAGCUGAUGAUGAACUUCGGACUGGUAUUCUCUCCAUUCCCGGCAAGAAGGUGCAUAUCCGGCAUUACAGGAUUCCUGCGGCCCACCGAGUCAUCGCUAAGAACGAGGUGCAUCAGAACACUGACAAUGUUCCUGAAGAUAGAGAAGAACGUUGUGAUGCGUAAGUUCCUCCCAGACUCAGGUUGAUAAAGAAAGAGGUUUCUGGAGGGUUUCAGGUGAGCUGCCUGGCGUUUGGUUUCUACCCCCGCCACAUCAACCUGACCCUGCUGAGAGACGGCCAGCCAGUGGCAGAACAGGAGCUGACAGGGGGGAGGUGCUGCCUAGUGGAGAUGGGACCUACCAGCUGAGGAAGAGUCUGGAGGUGAGUACUGAUGAGCUAAAGAAGAGACACAUGGAGAUGUGUAAAUUAGAGGCCAUUUAGUCCUUACAUUACUGUAGCAUAUAUGCUGCAGAAAAUAGUGACCACAAUGAAAAUAAGUCCCCGACUUUAUUGUGCAAUCCCAGUCAUAUACAGUGUAAAUAAGUUAUUUCUGUUUUUAAUUUUGUUUAAAUUUGCAAGAAAAUGUUGCUUUGUCAUUAUGGUGUAUUGUGUGUAGAUUUGUAUUUAUUUAAUCCAUUUUAGAAUAAGGCUGUAAAGUAACAAAUGUGGAAAAAGUCAAGGGGUCUGAAUACUUUUUGAAUGCACUGAAUAUAUAUAUUUUUACUGUAAAAUAAAAUCAAUUAAUUGAUCAAUCAAUCCAAACUGUACAACGGCAAUAUGAUGAAUGGAAAGAGACAUCUGUUACAAAACACC
RNAcentral lists this long non-coding RNA (1509 nucleotides) under Salmo salar (Atlantic salmon). Its description in RNAcentral is "lncRNA (ENSSSAG00000119390.1)". The record is from RNAcentral. Lineage: Eukaryota; Metazoa; Chordata; Actinopteri; Salmoniformes; Salmonidae.